GCAGUCGAACGGGUAACAUUAUUAAAAGCUUGCUUUUAAUAGAUGACGAGUGGCGGACGGGUGCGUAACGCGUAGGAAUCUGCCCUAAAGAGGGGGAUAACCUAGGGAAACUUAGGCUAAUACCGCAUAAACUCUACGGAGCAAAGGUCAUAGCUUGCUAUGGUCACUUUAGGAUGAGCCUGCGUUGGAUUAGUUUGUUGUUAGGGUAAAAGCCUAACAAGACGAAGAUCCAUAGCUGUUCUGAGAGGAAGAUCAGCCACACUGGGACUGAGACACGGCCCAGACUCCUACGGGAGGCAGCAGUGGGGAAUAUUGGACAAUGGGCGCAAGCCUGAUCCAGCAAUGCCGCGUGUGUGAAGAAGGCCUGAGGGUUGUAAAGCACUUUUAAGAUGGAAGAAGUUGCAGCAAUGUAAUUGACGUUACAUCUAGAAAAAGCACCGGCUAACUCUGUGCCAGCAGCCGCGGUAAUACAGAGGGUGCAAGCGUUAAUCGGAAUAAUUGGGCGUAAAGGGUGCGUAGGUGGUAAUUUAAGUCUUAUGUGAAAGUCAAUGGCUCAACCAUUGAAAGCCAUAAGAAACUGAAUUUCUAGAGUACUGUAGAGGGUAGUGGAAUUUCUGGUGUAGCGGUGAAAUGCGUAGAUAUCAGAAGGAACAUCAGUGGCGAAGGCGACUACCUGGACGGAUACUGACACUGAGGCACGAAAGCGUGGGUAGCGAACAGGAUUAGAUACCCUGGUAGUCCACGCCGUAAACGAUGAGUAUUAGCUGUUAAUAUCGAGAGGUAUUAGUGGCGUAGCUAACGUGAUAAAUACUCCGCCUGGG
RNAcentral lists this ribosomal RNA (821 nucleotides) under uncultured Pseudomonadota bacterium. RNAcentral describes it as "bacterial SSU rRNA". It matches the Rfam family "Bacterial small subunit ribosomal RNA", at positions 57 to 877 of the family's 1533-position model. The record is from RNAcentral. Lineage: Bacteria; Pseudomonadati; Pseudomonadota.